CCUACGGGCGGCAGCAGUGGGGAAUAUUGGACAAUGGGCGAAAGCCUGAUCCAGCCAUGCCGCGUGUGUGAAGAAGGCCUUCGGGUUGUAAAGCACUUUCAGUGGGGAAGAAAGCCUUGGGGCUAAUACCCUCGAGGAAGGACAUCACCCACAGAAGAAGCACCGGCUAACUCCGUGCCAGCAGCCGCGGUAAUACGGAGGGUGCGAGCGUUAAUCGGAAUUACUGGGCGUAAAGCGCGCGUAGGCGGUCUGAUAAGCCGGUUGUGAAAGCCCCGGGCUCAACAUGGGAACGGCAUCCGGAACUGUCAGGCUAGAGUGCAGGAGAGGAAGGUAGAAUUCCCGGUGUAGCGGUGAAAUGCGUAGAGAUCGGGAGGAAUACCAGUGGCGAAGGCGGCCUUCUGGACUGACACUGACGCUGAGGUGCGAAAGCGUGGGUAGCAAACAGGAUUAGAUACCCGGGUAGUC
Molecule: ribosomal RNA, 465 nt
Filed under: Vreelandella stevensii
Lineage: Bacteria; Pseudomonadati; Pseudomonadota; Gammaproteobacteria; Oceanospirillales; Halomonadaceae
Description: partial 16S ribosomal RNA
Rfam family: Bacterial small subunit ribosomal RNA
Source: RNAcentral